UACGUAGGGUGCGAGCGUUAAUCGGAAUUACUGGGCGUAAAGCGUGCGCAGGCGGUUCGUUAAGUUCGAUGUGAAAGCCCCGGGCUCAACCUGGGAACUGCAUUGGAAACUGGCGAGCUUGAGUAUGGCAGAGGGGGGUGGAAUUCCGCGUGUAGCAGUGAAAUGCGUAGAUAUGCGGAGGAACACCGAUGGCGAAGGCAGUCCCCUGGGCCUGCACUGACGCUCAUGCACGAAAGCGUGGGGAGCAAACAGG
This 253-nucleotide ribosomal RNA is filed under the name uncultured bacterium. Its description in RNAcentral is "partial 16S ribosomal RNA". It matches the Rfam family "Bacterial small subunit ribosomal RNA", at positions 524 to 776 of the family's 1533-position model. The record is from RNAcentral.